RNAcentral lists this ribosomal RNA (241 nucleotides) under uncultured bacterium. Its description in RNAcentral is "partial 16S ribosomal RNA". It matches the Rfam family "Bacterial small subunit ribosomal RNA", at positions 15 to 236 of the family's 1533-position model. The record is from RNAcentral.
GAUCAUGGCUCAGGAUGAACGCUGGCGGCGUGCCUAACACAUGCAAGUCGAGCGAAGCAUUUUAAAGGAAGUUUUCGGAUGGAAUUUGAAAUGACUGAGCGGCGGACGGGUGAGUAACGCGUGGGUAACCUGCCUCAUACAGGGGGAUAACAGUUAGAAAUGACUGCUAAUACCGCAUAAGCACACAGUACCGCAUGGUACAGUGUGAAAAACUACCGGUGGUAUGAGAUGGACCCGCCGU